Long non-coding RNA from Cryptomeria japonica (Japanese cedar), 988 nucleotides. RefSeq lists it as uncharacterized. The record is from RefSeq and is a predicted model, not a curated record. The transcript is spliced from 4 exons. Lineage: Eukaryota; Viridiplantae; Streptophyta; Pinopsida; Cupressales; Cupressaceae.
UCAAAUGAAAACCUACAACGGGUUACGGGAAUGAAAACCUACAACGGUAAGGAAAACCUACAACGGGUUAUUUGGAAUGUUCAACGAUGAAUUCAAGGUUUUUACAGGCCGAUCCUCAGGUUUCUCUUCUCUGAAUUCUUCAGCCAUAUGGAGAUUCGAACAUGUGACUUAAGGUUCAAACCCUGGAAUUAAAAUCUUUUUUCACAUUCUGGCUGGUAAAAGAUGAAGAAGCAAAACAGAGGAUCAGAAAAUAGCAACCAAAUGAAAUCAAAUUCCCUACAACCCUUUCUGCGCCUUCCAUUACAAAGAAGAUUGUAAUUGAAUUAACACUAUAUGCCGCAUUUGGAAUGGUGUUAAGUUGUGUGCCUUUGCCCUGUUCAAUGAUGAAUUCUUUGGAAGGAUCAAAGGUUUUUACAGGAUUUCUCCUCUGAAUUCUUCAGCCAUAUGGAGAUUCGAACCUGUGACUUAAGGUUCAAACCCUGGAAUUAAAUACCUCUUUUAGCUUCGUUCAACGAAUCGGCAUCAAAUAUGGAUAUACAUGUUUGAAUUCAAAAUUUUUUUUGGCUGGUAAAAGAUGAAGAAGCAAAACAGAGGAUCAGAAAAUAGCAACCAAAUGAAAUCAAAUUCCCUAUAACCCUUUCUGCGCCUUCCAUUACAAAGAAGAUUGUAAUUGAAUUAACACUAUAUGCCACAUUUGGAAUGGUGUUAAGUUGUGUGCCUUUGCCCUGUUCAACGAUGAAUUCUUUGGAAGGAUCAAAGGUUUUUACAGGAUUUCUCCUCUGAAUUCUUCAGCCAUAUGGAGAUUCGAACCUGUGACUUAAGGUUCAAACCCUGGAAUUAAAUACCUCUUUUAGCUUCGUUCAACGAAUCGGCAUCAAAUAUGGAUAUACAUGUUCGAAUUCAAAAUUUUUUUUGGCUGGUAAAAAAUGAAGAGGCAAAAUGGAGAAUCAGUGGUAGCAAUCAAAUGAGAUCAAAUCCCCCCUUCCAG